GAAUGAACGUUGGCGGCGUGGAUUAGGCAUGCAAGUCGAGCGCUCAUAGCAAUAUGGGAGCGGCGAACGGCGUAGGAAUUCAUAGGAACGUACCCUCAGGACGGGGAUAGCUACGGGAAACUGUAGGUAAUACCCGAUGAUCUCCGCGGAGCAAAGGUGUGAUUCCGCCUGAGGAGCGGCUUAUGCGAUAUUAGCUAGUUGGUGGGGUAAUGGCCUACCAAGGCAAAGAUGUCUAGGGGGUGUGAGAGCAUGGCCCCCACGACCGGAACUGAGAUACUGUCCGGACACCUACGGGUGGCUGCAGUCGAGAAUCUUCCGCAAUGGACGAAAGUCUGACGGAGCGACGCCGCGUGCGGGAUGAAGGCCCUUGGGUUGUAAACCGCUUUCGGAGGGGAUGAAAUCCUCGAGGGUUCUCCCUCGAGGUUGACAGAGCCUCAAAAGAAGCACGGGCUAAGUACGUGCCAGCAGCCGCGGUAACACGUACUGUGCGAACGUUAUUCGGAAUCACUGGGCUUAAAGGGUGCGUAGGCGGCGAUUCAAGUCAGAUGUGAAAUGCCUGAGCUCAACUGAGGCAUUGCGUUUGAAACUGAAUUGCUAGAGUAUUUCAGGGGUGUGCGGAACUGCCAGUGGAGCGGUGAAAUGUGUUGAUAUUGGCAGGAACACCGGAGGCGAAAGCGGCACACUGGGGAAUAACUGACGCUGAGGCACGAAAGCCAGGGGAGCGAACGGGAUUAGAUACCCUGGUAGUCCACACUGUAAACGAUGAUAACUCACUGCCGGCGAUACACAGUCGGUGGCCAAGCGAAAGCGAUAAGUUAUCCACCUGGGGAGUACGACCGCAAGGUUGAAACUCAAAGGAAUUGACGGGGGCCCGCACAAGCGGAGGAACAUGUGGUUUAAUUCGAUGAUACGCGAGGAACCUUACCCGGGCUCGAACGGUGCAUGAAUAAGCAAGAGAUUGUUUAGUCCUUCGGGACAUGUAUCGAGGUGCUGCAUGGUUGUCGUCAGCUCGUGCCGUGAGGUGUCGGCUUAAGUGCCAUAACGAGCGCAACCCUUGUUGUUAGUUACCAACAGGUAAAGCUGGGGACUCUAACGAGACUGCCACCGUAAGGUGUGAGGAAGGGGGGGAUGACGUCAAAUCAGCACGGCCCUUAUGUCCGGGGCGACACACGUGUUACAAUGGGGGGUACAGAGGGCAGCCAUCCGGUGACGGAGCGCCAAUCUCCAAAACCCUUCUCAGUUCGGAUUGGAGUCUGCAACCCGACUCCAUGAAGUUGGAUUCGCUAGUAAUCGCGCAUCAGCCAUGGCGCGGUGAAUACGUUCCCGGGCCU
RNAcentral lists this ribosomal RNA (1331 nucleotides) under uncultured bacterium. RNAcentral's name for it is "bacterial SSU rRNA". It matches the Rfam family "Bacterial small subunit ribosomal RNA", at positions 27 to 1381 of the family's 1533-position model. The record is from RNAcentral.